GCGAUGAAGGAUGGUGUGCGUUUCUCUGAUGCAACAAGGUCAUAUUUUGUAGGUCGGAGCUUUAAAGCUCGUUGGGACAACAACGUUCCACCUGCAUAACUAGAGAAAAAAUAUUAAUAAUUGUAAAAGGGGAAAAAGGAUAGGGACAGAGCACCAUUUUAUUGGUUCCGGUUCAUCGGAGUUUGAAACUCCUCGCCGGAGCUACUGUCCGUUCGCGGCGCCGCUGGCGUGAGCUCGGAGCUCGUUGCUCCGAUGGUUCUAGAUGGGUUUGUUGUUGGUAUCAGAUAAAAAUGAAAAAGGGGUGUGGUUGAGUUGGGGUUUUGUGGGUUGGUUUGGAGUCUGUUAGGGGGGUUGUUUGGUAGUUGUUUUAGCUGGAGAAGGAGAAAGGGGGAAAGGGGUCGUUUCGGGUGACUAUUUCACCGAAAAAA
Molecule: long non-coding RNA, 428 nt
Filed under: Solanum tuberosum (potato)
Lineage: Eukaryota; Viridiplantae; Streptophyta; Magnoliopsida; Solanales; Solanaceae
Description: long non-coding RNA (STUB_LNC001675)
Source: RNAcentral